GGGCGUGGCUAACGGGAUAACUGCCAGAGCAGAAGACAGUUGGCAGUUAUUUCGCAACCUUCAUCUGUUCCUGGAAGAUACCCGUAGCCUGCCUUCCUUCUUGACAGGCUGAUUUAGGGGUGCUCCCCAAGAAGAUCAGGACUGCUGAAAGAAUGAAGAAGAACUUACUUGGCCUAGGAUGUGGCUAGAGAACGGAGCGCACUUUCACUUACCUGGCAAGGUGGUUUUGGAAGUUUCCACGGAAGCCUUCCCAGGGCCGCUGCUGCCCGUCCUCGCCUAGAAGAAUUCCAUUCUCCCAUCCCAGGAAGGAGAGUGCCCUGCGUGCCACGAAAGAGCCCAGGACCCACAGGACAAAUACGUCACUGGCAGACCUGCCUUCGCCAGCGCCAGCCCAUCUCUGAAACCUCCAGCAUUUGUGCCCCGGUCCGGCCCCUCCCAGGCCUGACUCUUUCCGUGAACGGUCACUGCGCAGGAUCAAGCUACAAUGAAGAGGAGGGAGGCAGUCUGCGCGCACCGCCAUUUUCUAGGAACUGGGAAGCCCCCCCACCCCUUAGGAAGAUCCAUCCCUGUGGAACCUUGCCCAGGCUUACCAGCCUUUGCUGAGGUUGAUCUAUUGUCCCUCCUUGUCCCCAUCAAAAUAUCCAGCACUCCACCUUCAGGGAGUAGACUUGACCCUCAAAUAGCAAGUUCAGCCUUCCCAGGUCUAGGUUCCCUGGGAGGUCAAGAUUCGUCUGGUUCCUUAGUACAGAGGGCUAGCUGUGAGUUGGAAUCCCCCUAUGAGCUUUAGAAUCAGUCAAGAGGAAUUGGGCCCCUUCCCUUCAUCCCUCUUCUUUUCCCUUUUUGUCCCAGAGCUCAGCUCUGACUCAAAAGUUUUUCCAUUUACCAUCAACAUGGAAACUUGGCUCCUCACGUAGGUAUAUUAUCCCCCUUUUGUACAUGGUCUUGUUGAUCCAAACUCCCUUUCUGUGAAAGAGGCCUGUGGGGCUCAAGAAGCCUGGUCAGCCAGCCAGGCUAGUCCCACAUACCUCAGAACCAGUUUAAUAAAGGCUCUAUGUCAUUCUUUUUUGCUU
Homo sapiens (human) is the source of this 1070-nucleotide long non-coding RNA. Ensembl annotates it as testis development related 1. Its record names the gene TDRG1. The record is from Ensembl. NCBI's taxonomy places the organism in Eukaryota, Metazoa, Chordata, Mammalia, Primates, Hominidae.